GCACUUCCUCCCGCCCUGAGGACGCCGCAGCCAGUUGGGUAGCUGCGUGAGUCGGCCAUAAGGACGGGCACGGAAGGUGGCCAGUGGCGUUCCCCGUGUUCGUCGCUGGUCGUUAUCCAGCUCGUCCGUGGCGCGACACCCGACUGAGGUCGAUGGGUCCCGGUUAGGACCUUGCCGUCCCCUCCCCUGCGGUCGAGCGGACGCUCCAGCAGGUGAUUGCCCGUGCGGUCGUCCCACUCUCCGAGUGGACGGUCCUCGGGGGCACUGUCGGUGAGGAUGCGUUCCGCGCGGGUGUGCCGGCGGCUGCGGCGAGUAGGUCNNNNNNNNNNNNGACCCGUCUUGAAACACGGACCAAGGAGUCUAACAUGUGCGCGAGUCACGGGGUCUUGUUCAGGCCCAGAGGCGCAAUGAAAGUGAAGGUCGACCUCGACGUCGGCCGUGUUGGGACUCUCCGUCCUCGUGGCGGGGAAGCACCAACGACCCGUCCUAUCCGAUUCAUCGGUUGGGCGGAGUGUGAGCGUACACGUUGGGACCCGAAAGAUGGUGAACUAUGCCUGGGCAGGACGAAGCCAGAGGAAACUCUGGUGGAGGUCCGUAGCGGUUCUGACGUGCAAAUCGAUCGUCAGACCUGGGUAUAGGGGCGAAAGACUAAUCGAACCAUCUAGUAGCUGGUUCCCUCCGAAGUUUCCCUCAGGAUAGCUGGCGCUCGGAGGAAUCAGUCUCAUCCGGUAAAGCGAAUGAUUAGAGGCCUUGGGGCCGAAACGACCUCAACCUAUUCUCAAACUUUAAAUGGGUGAGAAGUCUGGCUUGCAUGAUCGAAGCCCGGACGUUCAGGAUGAGAGCGCCCAGUGGGCCACUUUU
Molecule: ribosomal RNA, 861 nt
Filed under: Ummidia sp. MY2042
Lineage: Eukaryota; Metazoa; Arthropoda; Arachnida; Araneae; Ctenizidae
Description: eukaryotic LSU rRNA
Rfam family: Eukaryotic large subunit ribosomal RNA (bases 351-861)
Source: RNAcentral